GAUGAACGCUGGCGGCGUGCCUAAUACAUGCAAGUCGAGCGAACGGACGAGAAGCUUGCUUCUCUGAUGUUAGCGGCGGACGGGUGAGUAACACGUGGAUAACCUACCUAUAAGACUGGGAUAACUUCGGGAAACCGGAGCUAAUACCGGAUAAUAUUUUGAACCGCAUGGUUCAAAAGUGAAAGACGGUCUUGCUGUCACUUAUAGAUGGAUCCGCGCUGCAUUAGCUAGUUGGUAAGGUAACGGCUUACGAAGGCAACGAUGCAUAGCCGACCUGAGAGGGUGAUCGGCCACACUGGAACUGGGACACGGUCCAGACUCCUACGGGACGCAGCAGUAGGGAAUCUUCCGCAGUGGGCGAAAGCCUGACGGAGCAACGCCGCGUGAGUGAUGACGGUCUUCGGAUCGUAAAACUCUGUUACUAGUGAAGAACAUAUGUGUAAGUAACUGUGCACAGCUUGACGGUACCUAAUCAGAAAGCCACGGCUAACUACGUG
RNAcentral lists this ribosomal RNA (497 nucleotides) under uncultured bacterium. Its description in RNAcentral is "partial 16S ribosomal RNA". It matches the Rfam family "Bacterial small subunit ribosomal RNA", at positions 28 to 507 of the family's 1533-position model. The record is from RNAcentral.